AAGUCAUAACAAGGUUUCCGUAGGUGAACCUGCGGAAGGAUCAUUAGUGAACGCCCCUCUGGGCUUUACGAUUCACACCUGUGCACCGUGGGCCUCGGCCCUGCAAACAUAGUGUAAUGAACGUAUGGACAUCGUAAUCUGAUAAAACUUUCAACAACGGAUCUCUUGGCUCUC
RNAcentral lists this unclassified non-coding RNA (174 nucleotides) under Tremellales sp. Its description in RNAcentral is "partial contains small subunit ribosomal RNA, internal transcribed spacer 1, and 5.8S ribosomal RNA". The stretch from base 1 to 46 matches the Rfam family "Eukaryotic small subunit ribosomal RNA", at positions 1786 to 1831 of the family's 1831-position model. Lineage: Eukaryota; Fungi; Basidiomycota; Tremellomycetes; Tremellales. The record is from RNAcentral.